CCUACCCUUAGGACCGGGAUAACCCUGGGAAACUGGGGAUAAUACUGGAUAGGCAAUUUUUCCUGUAAUGGUUUUUUGUUUAAAUGUUUUUUCGCCUUAGGAUGGGUCUGCGGCCGAUUAGGUAGUUGGUUAGGUAAUGGCUUACCAAGCCGUUGAUCGGUACGGGUUGUGAGAGCAAGAGCCCGGAGAUGGAACCUGAGACAAGGUUCCAGGCCCUACGGGGUGCAGCAGGCGCGAAACCUCCGCAAUGUGAGAAAUCGCGACGGGGGGAUCCCAAGUGCCAUUCUUAACGGGAUGGCUUUUCAUUAGUGUAAAGAGCUUUUGGAAUAAGAGCUGGGCAAGACCGGUGCCAGCCGCCGCGGUAACACCGGCAGCUCUAGUGGUAGCAGUUUUUAUUGGGCCUAAAGCGUCCGUAGCCGGUUUAAUAAGUCUCUGGUGAAAUCCUGUAGCUUAACUGUGGGAAUUGCUGGAGAUACUAUUAGACUUGAGACCGGGAGAGGUUGGAGGUACUCCCAGGGUAGAGGUGAAAUUCUGUGAUCCUGGGAGGACCGCCUGUUGCGAAGGCGUCUAACUGGAACGGUUCUGACGGUGAGGGACGAAAGUUAGGGGCGCGAACCGGAUUAGAUACCCGGGUAGUCCUAACUGUAAACGAUGCGGACUUGGUGUUGGGGUGGCUUUGAGCUGCUCCAGUGCCGAAGGGAAGCUGUUAAGUCCGCCGCCUGGGAAG
RNAcentral lists this ribosomal RNA (727 nucleotides) under uncultured archaeon. RNAcentral's name for it is "bacterial SSU rRNA". It matches the Rfam family "Archaeal small subunit ribosomal RNA", at positions 108 to 835 of the family's 1478-position model. The record is from RNAcentral.